RNAcentral lists this ribosomal RNA (465 nucleotides) under Vreelandella stevensii. Its description in RNAcentral is "partial 16S ribosomal RNA". It matches the Rfam family "Bacterial small subunit ribosomal RNA", at positions 338 to 795 of the family's 1533-position model. The record is from RNAcentral. Lineage: Bacteria; Pseudomonadati; Pseudomonadota; Gammaproteobacteria; Oceanospirillales; Halomonadaceae.
CCUACGGUGUGCUGCAGUGGGGAAUAUUGGACAAUGGGCGAAAGCCUGAUCCAGCCAUGCCGCGUGUGUGAAGAAGGCCUUCGGGUUGUAAAGCACUUUCAGUGGGGAAGAAAGCCUUGGGGCUAAUACCCUCGAGGAAGGACAUCACCCACAGAAGAAGCACCGGCUAACUCCGUGCCAGCAGCCGCGGUAAUACGGAGGGUGCGAGCGUUAAUCGGAAUUACUGGGCGUAAAGCGCGCGUAGGCGGUCUGAUAAGCCGGUUGUGAAAGCCCCGGGCUCAACCUGGGAACGGCAUCCGGAACUGUCAGGCUAGAGUGCAGGAGAGGAAGGUAGAAUUCCCGGUGUAGCGGUGAAAUGCGUAGAGAUCGGGAGGAAUACCAGUGGCGAAGGCGGCCUUCUGGACUGACACUGACGCUGAGGUGCGAAAGCGUGGGUAGCAAACAGGAUUAGAUACCCGAGUAGUC